UCAAGUGAUUCUCCUGACUCAGUCUCCCAAGUAGCUGGGAUUACAGGUGCCCACCACCACACCUGGCCAAUUUUUUGUGUUUUAGUAGAGAUGGGGUUUCACCACAUUGGCCAGGCUGGUCUCAAACUCCUGACCUCAAGUGAUCUGCACACUUCAGCCUCCCAAAGUGCUGUGAUUACAGCCACCGCGCCCAGCCCAGUAGAACCUUCUUAUCUCCCUCUCCUUACAUUUGCUUAGAGGGAUGAGAGCCUCCUUGCUUGGGGAGGGGAAAGCUAUUGGGGAGGGACAUUACUGGCCUUUUGUCUCCACCUCCCCAGUGGCUGCUCUGGUUGGGUGGACUGAGGGUUCCCUCCUGCAAGUUCCUGCUGGGUGUGGCUGUCCUCAGGAAACCAAGUCCCCUCUGUGGCCCUACGGUAAGUGGCCCUGGCUUCAGAGGAGCUUGCAUUUGACUAGGCCUGCUGUGACUGCAAUGGUGGUUUUGAUAUAUUACCCAGGCUGGAGUACAGUGGCUAUUCACAGGCGUGAUCAUCGUGCAUCACAGCCUCAAACUCUUGGGCUCAAGUAUCCUCCUGCUUCAGCCUCCUCAGUAGCUGGGAUUACAGCAAUUAAACGAUACUGCAACGGUGAUGCUGCCACUAAUUAAUUUCUCCUCACAUCGAUGGAGACCUUUGGCUAGUGGGGCAUAAUGGAAAAUAAAAAGAAGAUCCCAAAUGCAAGCAUUCCAUCUGUCCCUGAUGCGCUGGGAUUUCCUGCAGUCGUGUUUGCUUUUCACCGUCCACUGAAAGAUGUGCAUAAUCUGACAGCCUUGUGAAAGAAGCUGUGGAGACUACCAAAUGGACUCGUCUAGAUUUCACAUGCAACAUGGCUCUGCCUUCCCUGAGCACUCUGGGCCUUUCCAUGGAGACAGAAUGAAUAGAUAAUGAGCAUGGUCUAAUAAACAGAGAAGGCUCAGGAGGGUCAGAAACACGGUGUUCGCUGAGUCUGCCUCAUUUCUCAGCCUACUUGCCAAGAAUUCCCAAAAAGGAAGCAUUGGAGGAUCAUUCCAAGGCUUGAGGUCCAGGACUACCCACUUCCCUUGGAAUGGUGUUGCCAUCACUGUUCUGGCACUGGAGAAAGGAUUCUACAUCGUUGGGAGAAAAGAAAAAGGAGAAUUUGGGCUUGCACUGAGAGGAUUACCUUUGGUGGUCUGGAAGUGGUGGGGUUGCAGCAUUGAAGGCACCAUCUUGGAAGCAGAGACUAGACCCUCACCAAGCAAUUAACAUGCUGGUGCAUUGAUCUUGGACUUUCCAGCCUCCAGAACUGUGAGAAAUAAAUUUCUGUUCUUAAUUAAUUACCCAGUCCCAGGUAUUCUGUUAUAGCAGCACAAAGCUUAGACGGGCUCCUUACAUCUUGAGGCUCCAUUAUCUCCUGGGAACUGGGAGUCCUUAGGUUCUAGCCAUGGAAAGAGAAACAAAAGAUGGAGAAGGCACACAUGCUUCUUAAUGGUCGUGGUUCAGAAGUAACAAAUACUAAUUCUAUAUAUUCUACUGGCCCAACACAAAUGCAGGGGUGUGCUGGGAAUGGAGUCUCUGAUUGGGCAGCAGGGAUCAGGGAUCAAAGAUCAGGAAAUAUUCCAGGGUGAAUAUUUUACUAGGUGAGGAGGACCAUGAAUUUUGACAAACAGCCUUUGCUGCUCUACCCACUCCUCAUCAUUACUGUUAGACACAAAGAGAAAUGGCAGCACUUUUUGUCCAUUGAUUGUAACUCUUUCUUUAAAGACUUUUAAGGCAGAAUCUCAAUUCAUCUCUUCUAUGAAACUUUCAUGAUUCAAAGGGAAGUCCCUGCAUGGACACUGCCAGCUUCAUUGCACUUCUGCCUCUAUGCUUUUUCCUGAACCUUCUCCACCUCUGGAACGUACUUCAGGCUGCACAGGAAGCAUGGCUGGGAGGCCUCAGGAAACUGACAAUCAUCAGUAGAAGAUGAAGAGGAAGGAGGCGCAUCUUACAUGGCCAGAGAAGGAGGAAGAAUAAGAAGGGAUUCUCCAGCUGGAGCCCUAUAAAUUGGACUGACAAAAGACAGAUUAGCAAGAGAAAUGCAAGCAGCAGUUUAUUAGCACGUGCAUCAUGAUUACACAUGGAAGUACCCAGAGGUGAGUAACACAAAGGAGUGGUUAGAACUUGGGCUUAUAUACCACCUUAACAUAAAACACAGGAAAAGGGGUUUGAGACUUCUGAGUAGGGGAGGCAAGUCAUGGGAUGGUGACCAGGAAAAGUAUGGUAGACAAGAGUUGUUUAGUAAGGUGUGUUAUGUGGAUUUAAAUCAGUACCUUCUUCAUUGAUAAGAGUUGUUAAGAGUACUCCUUUUCCUGGUAUGGGAGAGGGAGAUAUCUCUACAAAUCUAAAUUUCGUUUAUUAGGGGAAACCGUGUGCCCUGGUUUUAGAGCUUUUCCUGAGACUGCUGGUUCUCAAUGGCCUCGAGCUCAAAAUAAUCCAUAUGCCAAAGAGGCAUAUUUUGGGGUGGCAUAUUCUGGUACCUCUCAGGCUACUCCUGACACUAUUUUCACUUGACUUCCUAGUCAUCUCAUCUGCUCUUCACCCUGGAUGCUAGAGAAAAUUCUCUGGCUCUGUCAUAACCGAAAGCACAAAGUUCUUUCUGUGCAUUCCUCUGAUCUAAAGCAUUGUGAUAGAUUAAAACUAGGCUUUGUACAAUCUUUCGCUGAUGACUCCUCUGAGUCCUGCCCCUCUGGAACACAGCCCAAGACAAGCAGCCAAAACAUGUCUUCACCUUCUCUCUUAAGAGCUUUUUCCUGACUUUCUCCCAUCUUGGACAUAUUUUAGUAAUUUCUCAAAAAGUAUUUGCAAUGGUUAAUUUUAUGUAUCAACUAAACUAGGCUAUUGUGCUCAUUUGUUUUGUCAACCACCAGUCUGGAUGUUGCUGUGAAGGUGUUUUUUUUAGAUAUGAUUAAUCUUUUA
This is a long non-coding RNA of Pan troglodytes (chimpanzee), 2951 nucleotides long. RefSeq lists it as uncharacterized. NCBI's taxonomy places the organism in Eukaryota, Metazoa, Chordata, Mammalia, Primates, Hominidae. The record is from RefSeq and is a predicted model, not a curated record. The transcript is spliced from 10 exons.